AGAGACCGGCGCACGGGUGCGUAACGCGUAUGCAAUCUACCUUUCACAAGGGGAUAGCCCAGAGAAAUUUGGAUUAAUACCUUAUAGUAAUACGACUUGGCAUCAAGACGUAUUUAAAGAUUUAUCGGUGAAAGAUGAGCAUGCGUCCCAUUAGCUUGUUGGUAAGGUAACGGCUUACCAAGGCUACGAUGGGUAGGGAUCCUGAGAGGGAGAUCCCCCACACUGGUACUGAGACACGGACCAGACUCCUACGGGAGGCAGCAGUGAGGAAUAUUGGACAAUGGGCGCAAGCCUGAUCCAGCCAUGCCGCGUGCAGGAUGAAGCAUCUAUGGUGUGUAAACUGCUUUUAUACGGGAAGAAACCCCGCCUCGUGAGGCGGAUUGACGGUACCGUAAGAAUAAGGACCGGCUAACUCCGUGCCAGCAGCCGCGGUAAUACGGAGGGUCCAAGCGUUAUCCGGAAUCAUUGGGUUUAAAGGGUCCGUAGGCGGCCCGAUAAGUCAGUGGUGAAAUCUCCCGGCUCAACCGGGAA
Molecule: ribosomal RNA, 531 nt
Filed under: uncultured Flavobacterium sp.
Lineage: Bacteria; Pseudomonadati; Bacteroidota; Flavobacteriia; Flavobacteriales; Flavobacteriaceae
Description: bacterial SSU rRNA
Rfam family: Bacterial small subunit ribosomal RNA
Source: RNAcentral